GACAGAGGGGGCAAGCGUUGCUCGGAAUCAUUGGGCGUAAAGGGUGCGUAGGUGGCGCCGUAAGUCGGGUGUGAAAUUUCGGAGCUUAACUCCGAAACUGCAUUCGAUACUGCGGUGCUUGAGGACUGGAGAGGAGACUGGAAUUCAUGGUGUAGCAGUGAAAUGCGUAGAGAUCAUGAGGAAGACCAGUGGCGAAGGCGGGUCUCUGGACAGUUCCUGACACUGAGGCACGAAGGCCAGGGGAGCAAACGGG
This 253-nucleotide ribosomal RNA is filed under the name uncultured bacterium. Its description in RNAcentral is "partial 16S ribosomal RNA". It matches the Rfam family "Bacterial small subunit ribosomal RNA", at positions 524 to 776 of the family's 1533-position model. The record is from RNAcentral.